UACGGGGGGGGCAAGCGUUGUUCGGAAUUACUGGGCGUAAAGCGCACGUAGGCGGAUUUGUAAGUCAGGGGUGAAAUCCCGAGGCUCAACCUCGGAACUGCCUUUGAUACUGCAAAUCUCGAGUCCGGAAGAGGUGAGUGGAAUUCCUAGUGUAGAGGUGAAAUUCGUAGAUAUUAGGAAGAACACCAGUGGCGAAGGCGGCUCACUGGUCCGGUACUGACGCUGAGGUGCGAAAGCGUGGGGAGCAACAGG
Molecule: ribosomal RNA, 252 nt
Filed under: uncultured bacterium
Lineage: Bacteria
Description: partial 16S ribosomal RNA
Rfam family: Bacterial small subunit ribosomal RNA
Source: RNAcentral